UUUUUUUUUUUUUUUUUUUGGCUAAUAUCAUCCCGUGUGAGGUAACUCAGACCCAAAAGGACAUCCAUGGUAUGUACUCACUAAUAAAGUAAGUUCUUAAGAUAUAAAUUCCAAAGGUAAAAUACUUUGGAAAAUGCUGUGUAUUGUAAUGUGACAUGGACAACUGCGGAUUUAUUUAUUUUUUUUAACUGACAUUACUUCUCAGAGGCUUUGAGAUGCCAAUUGACAUGUGUCUCUUUAUGAGAGGUUAGUGGUCAUAGUUCUCAGAAGCACAGUAACCUGCAGGCACUCUUGUCUUGUAUUCAUUCUCAUGGUUGUAAAUGAAGAGAUACUGGGCUUGGGGACGACGGUGUUCCAGUUAGACCGUCUGUGCUAUGGAAUCUCAGCUAAGUUAUAUUCUAAAUGUUGUCUUGGAUGGGUACUGCCCAGUGGUGUCCUCUUGGCUCUUCUUAUAGAAGACACACACAGCUGCACACAACUUCAGAACAGAGUGAAGUAUGAAUUUCACUCUGCCCACCAGUUUGUUUGGUUUGACUCGGCCAUCAAGAAGCCAUAGUACCUCGUUUCUCAGCAUGUGGUUUAUCAUCCCUGUUUCCAAAUGCCAGAUAAUCAAUCCCUUCUCGGUAUUUUAUUCAGGUUUUUAUAUAAUCCCUAGGUUCCUGUGUCGUCACAGGAGUCUAAAAAUGCUUUAUGUUAAGAGAUAGUAAACUUUUCAAAGUUGAUGGGCUCUAAUGCCUGAGGAGCCAAGAGCCCUGUGGAAACGAAGCGGGUGGUGGUGAUCCAUCUGUGGGAUGAAUUUAAUCUGAGAACCUGAUUUUUCCAGUUUUUGAGCUAUCUCAUGCCUGAGUACAUUUACUAACUAGAACUCAGCUUCUCUGGAGAAAGGAUUUUCUGUCACCCAUUCACUGGAUGUUCUUUAUAAUUGACCUGAAAUCUAUCUUCCUGUAAUCUCCUUUUGAUUCAUCCAUAGGGGCACUUACAUAACACAUCUGAUCUCCCUCUCCACCUGCUGUCCAAGAGUUUAAAUUCUUGUCUUCACUUUUCACCUUCUCUGUUCCUUUACCUACCUUUUCAAAUUCGAUUAGUCACUGUGCUCUGAGAGUAAGCAUGUUUGCCUGUGUGUCUGUGUGUGUUAAUGUUAAACUAUAAUGUUUAACACUCAAUACCGUCAGUGUACCUACCUGUCACGGCUGCAGAAAAGUUAUUUAUACUUCACAUAUUUCUCUUAAAGGUGAAAUUUGAAGAAGCACUGUAAAAUAAAGUAUGUUUUAUAAUUUUUAUUCCAUACAAUACAAUGAAUUUUAACAAUAGUGACAGAUUCUGUAUAUUUUUAGAGAACACUAGAAGUUACAAUUGAAUGAGCAUUAUUUCAUGCAUUAAAAUAAAAACACUUGAUGCAAAAUAGUGUGGAUUGACAUAUAUUAGAAUGUUAAAUUAUGUGUGAGAAUUCACAGGUGAAUGUACAUAUAAAUUAUUUAAAUGUUAGAUGCUUGGAACUUCUGAUUUUGUGCGUAUAUUUCAGUUCAGUAGCUCCUUUAUUAAGCAAAGGAAAGCUAGUUCAGUGUGCACCAUUUAUUAGAGAUGAUUCUCUACUUUAGGUUAGCAUUAUAGACAAGGUGAAUUAAAAUAUUCUAAUCAGUAUGUGAAAUCAAAUAUUUUUGACAGGCUCUUUGUCAUUUAAAUUUCUUCUAGUAGUGAAAUGUAAAUUAGAUAAUUUAAAAUCAUCCUAUUGUUAAGCAAAUACGUGGACAGACUAUUUUGAAGUGUAUUAAUUUACUCUCUUCGAAGGCUACCAUGAAAUUUUAGAGAAGGUAAUGUUUGUGGACAUCCUCCAGUCAGGCUGUUGGCCCCUGUUGCUGGUGCUAACCCAGUUACUGGGUCAGCAUGUGAUCGAGUGAGCCAACUGCAGCUUAGUCCUCCUUCUGGGGCCAUGGCUCAAAUACUGUAUCAUGAUGGUUUUACCUUCUUAUUCUGGAGACUUCUGAUGGCAAACGCAAUUGGGCCAGCACUAGGGAAGUCAUUUAUAGACAUGGCUUGGCUCCGAUCCCAGCUCUUCCCACCCUCUUAAGUAGGUCACCCAGCUUCUCAAACUCUCAGUCUUUUCAUAUUUGUAAGAUCUAAAGGUUCAUCUUAUUACUGUUGUGGUAUGUGAUAAACAUUUUACUAAAUGAUUAUAGAAAUGAGUGGAAUUUUUUUUACAAUAUUUUUCUCUGUUAUGUAAAAUGGAAUAGCAAAUGGAAGCUGUCAUUGUUUUUUUCUUACUUGGUGUAUUUUACUGUGUAGGAUAGGGUGUAAUUUAGCAAUUACUCAACUUUCAUAUGUUGUAAUUAGACCACAUUUAAAUGAGGGAAGUUACUGUUAGACAAGGUCAUAGACACUGUUGGCCUCCUAUGAGCUGUAGAACAUCAGUUGAAAAAAUACUAAACAAAGAAUUCUCAACAGAGGAAUACCAAAUGGCUGAGAAACACCUAGAGAAAUGUUCAACAUCCUUAGUUGUCAGGGAAAUGCAAAUCAAAACAACUCUGAGAUGCCACCUGACACCAGUUAGAAUGGCUAAGAUCAAAACCUCAGGUGACAGCAGAUGCUGGCAAGGUGUGGAGAAAGGGGAACACUCCUCCAUUGUUGGUGGGAUUGCAAGCUGCUACAACCACUCUGGAAAUCAGUCUGGCAGUUCCUCAGAAAAUUGGACAUACCACUCCUGGGCAUAAACCCAAAAGAUGCUCUAACAUAUAAGAAGAACACAUGCUCCACUAUGUUCGUAGCAGCCAUAUUUAUAAUAGCCAGGAGCUGGAAAGAACCCAGAUGACCCUCAACAGAGGAAUGGAUACAGAAAAUGUGGUACAUUUACAUAAUGGAGUACUACUCAGCUCUUAAAAACAAUGACUUCAUGAAAUUCUUAGGCAAAUGGAUGGAACUAGAAAAUAUCAUCCUGAGUGAGGUAACCCAAUCACAAAAAAUACACAUGUUAUGUACUCAGUGAUAAGUGGAAAUUAGCUCAAAAUCUUGGAAUACCCAAGAUACAAUUCGCAGACCACAUGAAACUCAAGAAGAAGGAAGACCAAAGUGUGGAUACUUCAGUCCUUAGAAGGGGGAACAAAAUACUCGAGGGAGAAAAUACAGAGUCAAAGUGUGGAGCAGAGACUGAAGGAAAGGCCAUCCAGAGACUGCCCUACUUGGGGAUUCAUCCCAUAUACAGUUACCAAACCCAGACACUAUUGUGGAUGCCAAGAAGUGCUUGCUGACAGGAGCCCGAUACAGCUGUCUCCUGAUAAGCUCUGCCAGAGCCUGACAAAUACAGGGCAGAUGCUCACAGCCAACCAUUGGACUGAGCACAGAGUCCCCAAUGAAGGAGUUAGAGAAAGGACUGAAGAAGCUGAAGGGGUUUGCAACCCCAUAGGCUGAACAAGAUCAACCAACCAGACCCCUCCCCCUUACCCCCACCCCCACAGUGGUUGCUCCCAGGGACUAUAACAUCAACCCAAGAGUACACAUGGAGGGACCUAUGGCUCCAGCUGCAUAUGUAGCAGAGGACAUCAGUGGGAGGAGGGGCCAUUGGCCCUCUGAAGGCUGGAUGUCCCAGUGUAGGGGAAUGCCAGGAUGGGAAAGCAGGAGUGGACUGGUGGGUGGGGGAGCACCGUCAUAGAGGCAGGGGUAUGGGGGAUGGGAUAGGGGGUUUCGGAGGAGAAACCAGGAAAGGGGAUAACUUUUGAAAUGUAAAUAAAGAAAAUAUCUAAUAAAAAAU
RNAcentral lists this long non-coding RNA (3742 nucleotides) under Mus musculus (house mouse). RNAcentral's name for it is "long non-coding RNA chr19:57780550-57784292". The record is from RNAcentral. Lineage: Eukaryota; Metazoa; Chordata; Mammalia; Rodentia; Muridae.